GCCCGGGUGGUCUAGUGGUAUGAUUCUCGCUUAGGGAAAUAACCCAAGCAUAUCUGCGAGAGGUCCCGCGUUCGAUCCGCGGCUCGGGCC
RNAcentral lists this transfer RNA (90 nucleotides) under Aspergillus leporis. RNAcentral describes it as "tRNA-Pro". Lineage: Eukaryota; Fungi; Ascomycota; Eurotiomycetes; Eurotiales; Aspergillaceae. RNAcentral also lists the same sequence under 5 other names. The record is from RNAcentral.